CUGGCUCAGGAUGAACGCUAGCGACAGGCUAACACAUGCAAGUCGAGGGGCAGCAUAAAAGUAGCAAUACUUGGUGGCGACCGGCGCACGGGUGAGUAACGCGUAUGCAACCUACCUAUCAGAGGGGAAUAACCCGGCGAAAGUCGGACUAAUACCGCAUAAAACAGGGGCACCGCAUGGUGAUAUUUGUUAAAGAAAUUCGCUGAUAGAUGGGCAUGCGUUCCAUUAGGUAGUUGGUGAGGUAACGGCUCACCAAGCCGACGAUGGAUAGGGGAACUGAGAGGUUGGUCCCCCACACUGGUACUGAGACACGGACCAGACUCCUACGGGAGGCAGCAGUGAGGAAUAUUGGUCAAUGGGCGGGAGCCUGAACCAGCCAAGUCGCGUGAAGGAAGAAGGAUCUAUGGUUCGUAAACUUCUUUUGCAGGGGAAUAAAGUGCAGGACGUGUCCUGUUUUGUAUGUACCCUGAGAAUAAGGAUCGGCUAACUCCGUGCCAGCAGCGGC
This 505-nucleotide ribosomal RNA is filed under the name uncultured bacterium. Its description in RNAcentral is "bacterial SSU rRNA". It matches the Rfam family "Bacterial small subunit ribosomal RNA", at positions 19 to 518 of the family's 1533-position model. The record is from RNAcentral.